GCGCCCCGCAAAUUCAGUUUUAAAAUAAUCUUAAAAUACCGCAUUCUUUCUGAGCGAUCAAAGGUAGGAAGCUCCCUUUGAUCGUAUCUACUUUGUUCCACUAAACUUCCAGAAGGGCAGAAGGAUCCCAACUAUUUUAUGUGACUGUAUGUAUACAUGUAUAGAUCGCAAAUUAACAUAAUCACAUAAAUUAACACAAUUAAAUCACAUUUAUGACAAGAUGUAUCCUUGAUGGGCACUGUUACUUGAGUAUCAAGCAAUUGAAUCAUUCUCCCUCCUUCCUUGAGAAGUUCUUGAGGAUUGAAAAAUGAUUACCCUUGCUGCGAAGGUAACCAUGUGACAGAAUGAUGUGUUCUGGCCAAUGAGAUGUUAGAAUUCCACUUGGGAGCCUCUAGGAAAGAGUUUGCUUUCCCGGGAAAACGUCAAGUGCGAGAGGAGAGCUCCUGGGUUCUGUCCUUUCUAUCUUCCUGCCCUGAAGGUGGUUAUGUGGGAAAAGGAUAGUUGGACCUAUGGCAGCCAUCUUUAUUAGGAUCGUGAGACAAAACACCCAAGGCCUAAAGGUCAUCCUAUUUAGGAUGAUGGAAGAUGGAGAAAGGAUCUUAAAGGGUAGAAGGAAAGAUAGGAAAAAGAAAUGAACCUAGUUCUCCGAGGAUCAUUUCGUUACCUUUGUUGCCAAAUUUGGAACUACUUACUUCUGGUUUCAUCAUCUGUGAGGUAAUUGCUUAAACUUCUACUGGCAGCUGAAUUCUAACUGAUACAUUUUAACAUUUUUCUGACUCAUUCCCAGGCUCACAUUUGAUUAGUAAGUAAUGGCAGAUAUUUAAACCCAGGUUUUUCGAUUCAAAGCCCAGUGUUUUCCUGGCUCUGCUGUCUUUCCACAUGGUUAUAAUUUGGGAAAUAAAUACAUACACUGUGAAGUAAUAACAUACGUUACCCAUUAUGAAGACUUGUCCUCCUCUUAUUUAAAGCCCUAUUUCUCUCAUAACCCUCUGGACUGCUCUCUCAUGGUUUGUCCAACAAGUUCUGGGAAUGAAUUUCCCUGUAUUACCCUCUGUUUCCCUUAUCAUUGAAUGUUUGUUUACCUCACUAUAACUUCAGACAAGUUACUGAUCAUCAAAUUUGUUUUCCUGCUCUUUAUAAGAGGAUAAUUUAUAUUAACCUUUUGCAUAUUUCGCGGUCUUGUUGAGUGGGAAGGGGCUCAGGGGUAUGGGGCUCAGUUUAUUACCGACAUUCUAAUUUUUGCUUGCUCGUGGUUGCUAUACGGGUGUUUAAAUCUUUAUAGAAAUUAGAUACUGAAUAAAGGCCCAUAAUGACACAAUACAUUUUCACCUGCCUUUGUCUGUAAAGCAAUGGGUGUGCUUAACAUUUUUAUUCAAUUUUUAGUGGUGAAAGCCUGGUCCAUCAUUUUCCUUAGUUGGUUUAUCUCUUUUUAGACCUUUUUAAAAGAUCUAUAUGUGGAUAUUUGGUAUACAUAUAACUGAGAUCUAAUCAUAGCAUUAUGUAUGUACUCCGAGAAACCACAGAAAUUCUCCAGUCAGAGCAUAUAACUAACACUGGGAACUAUGAUUAGUCUCUUAAGAAUGUGGCCUUAAAUGAGCAGGCCCUCUCAAUACACUAUAAAACCGGGUUAUAAGGGACCAGAGGUUGCAUUGAUACUCAUUAAGGGAAAAAUGACUCCUAGGCUAGUGAGACUCAACUCUCCGAGUUAAUUAAAUGUACCAAUAUAUUUAAAGAAAAUGUAUCCAACGGGUGGAUUGAGAAGCCACAGAACCAGAAAAAGGAGAAAUCUAGAGAUCUUUGUGCUGUUCCACCAAGACUUGUCUGAGAGAGACGAUGUUCUGAACCGCUCUACUUCCAAAAGCAGCAGUCUUACUGUUAUUGUUUUUAUUAUGAAUCUCUGACACGUAUGGGCUGUUUCAGUAUAGCUACUGGACCCAUUUAUGUAAUUGAAUCCUCAUAAAAACUGAAGGAUGUAAGCACUACCAUUAUCCUUAUUUUAUAGAUGAGGAUAUGAAAGCUGAAGGAGGCCAAAUUAUUUAGGUUCACACAGCUCGUGAAUGGCGGCGUUAGGAUCUGAAUUUAGUCUACAGAACCUGUGUGCGUAGCCACAAUUCGGUGAGUUUAUAAUGACAAAAGGGCGCUCUGGCCUGAGUUUUGCAGAAAGCAAGCAAUCUGAGGAUUAGACGUCUGCGACUUGUCCAACCGUAUAUGUGAGAAUUCGGGCAGUAAUUCAAAGUCUCUCGAAUCUUGCGUUGAUGUAUUUCCAGCAUAACAGGAUGCUUCUCCGUGAGGAAAUCGUUCAGGAAUCGACCAGUGAAGGUGAGACUGCCUUCAGCGCUGGGGCAACACUGGAAGCCUGUGCUCUUUGGAAGGAAGUAGAUACGCAUAGCUCUCACGCACGUGGACGUGGAUUUAAAUGUAUGUGUGUGUUUACGUGUGGAGUCAGUCCUCAUUAUUUGUGGAUUCCGUGUUCGUGAAUUUUCCCACUUGCUCAAAUUUGUCACCUCCACAUCAAUACUCAUGGUACCUUUGUGGCCAUUUGCAGACAUGCACAGAGUGGAAGAACCUUUGGAUCACCUGGUACCCGUGUUCCCAGUGAGUUUGGACAAAGUGACCCUCUGGCUUCUUGUUUUAGCUUUCAUGAUGUAAAGAAAAGAAAAGAAGGACCUAAGAAGGACAAGCAAGGAAUGGCAACUAUUGGGAAUCCAUAGUAAAUAUGGCAGGCUCAUUGUUCAAGUUAAAAUUUUCUUGGAGAAGUAAAUCAAUAUGAAGAAUGGCAAGUAAAAAAAAAAAAGGAAAUUUUUAACAUUCACAAUGGAUUGUAUUGGGCUCUGUGUCUUCAUGAGACGAUGUCAUCCCUCGAAAAUUGGUGAAAAUAGGAGGAAAACAGAAAAUGUCAAAGAAAACAGUUCUCUUUACUCUUCUGAAUUAUAUAUAUAUAUAUAUAUAUAUAUAUAUAUAUAUAUAUAUAUGGUAAUCAACAAGACGAUCAUUCUCCCAUCAUGCCCAAAAAAGGUAGGAGAGAGGGGGAGAGAGAGAGAGAGACAGACAGAAGGUAUGAAGCCUUCAAUAGUGGAAAGCAGAAUUUAAACAUCUUGGGAUAAAAACACCAAGAAUUUGGCAAUAUGUUACUAAGCGACAGAUUUAGAAAGUUCUUUGUCAUUUGAUCUGCCUUUUUUCCUCCUCUUGCCUUUUAUACAUGUGGCCAGUAAAAACAGCUCUGUUGGUUUUCGUCUGGAGUCUGGUUUGGCGCUUUUGUCUUUUAUGUGAUGGUAAGCUGUGGGGUAGCUUGGAUUUAUAUAGAAACUACCUCAGGGGAACACUUACAGUCUGCCCUUGGAAUAUUUUCCGCAUUUCUGUUUAAUAAAAUUUGUGUGAGUAUGGACCGGUUCGUGGCAAAGUGGAUUUUGCUAAUCAUUUCAGCCUCAGAGAACCUGGGUUUGGGUCUUAAGGUUGGGAUCUCCUAGCCCUUGACCAAUGUCGUCUGUUGUCUCCUCUCUCUCAGCUCUGAAUUUUCAUAUGCGGAAAGUGUUGGUGAUCACGCGCCUUGAACUUUCACAGUGUUGUUUGGAGGGUUGUGUUGGAGAAGAACAUGGGAAGCAGUGCUUCGCAAACUCAAAACCCUACCAAAGGUUGAUUAUUAAUGUUGAAAUAUUUCCACAUUUAUUUGAACACUACUGUGCAGACUUAGAGCUCUCCUUAGCAAUAACAGCGGGCAUGGAAAUGACGGGAUGGUCCAUUUUUUUUGGACGUAGACUAUUAGCCUUGGAGACAAACUAAAAAAGGAGGGGAAACUUUUCUACAUAAGCAUAGGGGUAGUUACCUAAGAGCUAGGUCUUUGGUUUUUCAGGCUGCUAUAAUUGAUUUAUGCCCAUUUUACUGCCUGGGUGAAGUUUGUGCGCCAAUGUGACAUUAGCACAUGAUUAUAUUAUAAAAGCAUGAGUUACCUAGGUAAUUAAAGAUUGUGAGAUGGAAAAGUGAGGCUGACCCAGAGGUACCAUUUUGUGGGAUUAGUUUCCAUUAUGUUUCCCAGAAUUGAUUAGAUACGGCACCCCACCCCCCACCCGCCCCUCUAUAAAAGUAGCAUGGGGCUACUUGGCUUAGGGAAUGGUCUCUUCUGCUGGCUUUCGUUUUGGGGUCCAAGAUGGAAAAUGAAACACCGCAUGUCGAGAUGGACAUCCCUCAGUGUUUGAUUUGUCACCUGACACAUGUGGAAGAGAAUUCUGCUGAUUUUUCUUUGGGGCACUCUGUCUUUAUUAGAAGAUGGCACAGGAAAAAAAAUAUUCUUUUCCAUUCUGCCCAGUUCUGAGGAUACUGUGGAUUCUUAACAAUCACGAAGUUAUCUGUGACAGUGUGAAUAGAUUCUGCAAGUUAUUUACUUCCUGGACGGAUAUGCAGCUUUUUCCAGAUCCAGGUGUCAGGGAAGAAGAAUUUACUCUGCCUUUCAACGUCCUUCUAGCUGAACUAAGAAUCAAAUUGACACGAGACAGAGUCCACACAGGGAAAUCCACGCAGACAUGGAAAUUCCAAAGGCAGUGAGGCAACACAAAGCCUGUAUGAGCUAAGGGAGGGGUGGAAGUCUAAGGAUACAAAUCAGAGAAAGAUGUUUAGUGGGGAAGUGAGAGAGGAGGUGUUUGGAAAGCAAAGUUUGGCCUAUUAUGCAAAUCAGUUUCUUAGGUAGAGGGAAGUCUCUGUUAAGAGCUCUCUUCCUGGUGCGAGCAGGCAGUUAGUUGAGGGGCAGGUUAAGAGCUUUUCCGGCAUCCACUGGGUUUUGAUGGUUUUUAAUUCAAAAUAAUGUUAUGCCAAGGUGGCCCAUCUUGGGGUGGCUUGCCUUUGGUCCCUACACAGGGGAACAGAGUACUCUAAAAAUCAGGAGAGCGGAGAAGUUAUUUUGUGGAUGAACGACAUUAAUUGCUGAGGUUGUAAGUAGAAGCAAAUCAAGAAGUCAGUUCUUUUUUCUAGAUAAGGCUGAUUUAUUUAAUGUUUUCAAGUGUCUGAGAGUUCAAAAGUAUCUUUGAAUACACCCUGCGUUUCAUCAGUUACGAGCUGUGACACUUGGGUCUCUUCAUCUGCAAAGUGAGAGUAGGACUGUCGCAAAGUUUUCAUAAAUUACUACAUUUAAAGUACCUUAAAAUGUGCUGGGGCGUCAUAAACACUCACUAAAUGGCAGCUAUUACACAUUUCAGAAAAAUGAUGGAAGCAAGGAAAGCUCGUGUACUGAAGUUUUUGUGAAGGCCAAACAGCAACGCUGCAUUCAGAGUCUCCUGUGUGGCAUCUGUGUUGCGACAUUUGGCACAAUUAUUAUUGUACUCAAAUUGCCGGAACAAUGGAUAUUGUGCUAGGGGAUCCCAGGCUUCAGUUUCAUUGCAUCACAGACUGCACUGUUAUUUAAGGGGGGGAUGAUGAAAAGCAAGAGGGGAAAAUAGUACUCAUUCGUAACAACUGGACUUGACAUUUCACGUAUGUGUUGAGCAACACAGGCAAUCCUCUUUAGCGAAUUCAAUUUCACGACACAGCCUGUGCCUUUAAAUAUAUAGACAUAACCCCUCUCAUUAUAUACAUAUUACAUUUAUAUAUGUAUAUGUGUUAUAUGUGUGUGUGUGUGUGUGUGUGUGUGUGUGUGUGUGUGUGAUGCCUUGCAGAUAACCAUGCCUCAGUGGCCUCUAACUGAUGGAUGGGCCAUUGCUGGUGAUGCCCCAUAGCCUCCUAUCAGAUGCUUCUCUUUUUCUUCUAGUUUUACUUUUCCUCUCUCCCACCGACAGUUUCCUUGCCCCAUAGUCCUUAUUUUCUUUAAUUUUUUUCUUCGCUCUGUCGUGUCUGAAGUCUGCCCAAAGCAGUCGCAUCAUCUGUCAGGUUUUCACCACCAACGUAGGGACAGACCUAAAGAGAUUAGUAACCCUCGAGGAGAGUAUGCUUUACUAAAUAAAGGAAAGAUAGCAUCACGGGGCUUUUCUAAAUGUUGGAAUCAUUGCAUAUACCUUUUGGGGGGAAUUAUUUGUGGCUCCCAGUCAUGGCUGAGAUUAGAGUUCUGUUGCAAAGUUGAUCUUCUUUGCUCCUGGGAUUUUUCCCGAGGGGAUGGGAACACAGCUAGUGUAGUCCGAUCUUGGUAAAGGACUCUGAAAGAAAGAAAGUAGCAGUUGGGUCACGUACCUGCUGCUCUGGGGUUGUUCAUUUCUCUCCACUCUUUGGGGAAAUGAGUGGAGAUACUAACUGGUGUAAUUGUGACCAAGCAAAGAAGGGCAUAACUUGGAGCCAAUGGUGGAAGAAUCCAUGUAUAGGCUAGCAUUUCUGAGUGUGCAAGGGUUGUUGUGGGUGAGGAAGAGUCAUCCUGCCUUCGGCUGACUUCUCAUUUCAGUGGACUCCGUGCCCAAGGAACAUGUCAUCUGUGUAGGUACAAAUGGAGUGGAGGGAAAAGGAGACAGUUGCCAACGGGCCGGAACUAGCACUCAACCGGAUGGACUUCUCCAAGUUUUGCUUUAAUGGUGAAUAAAACCAUUGUGAUUCCCUAGACAUUGCCAGGGAAACCUUUUUCAUGGCGAUUGUACUUAUAGUCCUUAGCCUGCGGUAAUGUCGUAACGCACAUUUCAUUCUCUAGUGAGAUUGGUAGCCUGUCCCUCAUAUGCGAUUUCCUCAAGUUGGACAACUGCAAAGCCAUAUUUCCCCUAUUCUUUCUUCUUUGGUCAAGGAGAAUUUAUGUGGCCUUUGAAGCUGAAGCCAGAGUCCCUCCUGUGUUGGCCUCAAGCUUCAACUGGCAUUUCUGUCUCCUACAGAAACCUAAGACUUCCGUGGCAGGCAAAUUCUUCCAUUGUAAUUUUUCUAUCUCCCGUGAUUCUUAAAAAGAAGUGGAAAUUGGCCAAGCCAUCAGAAAAACUCGGAGUUGGGGUACCUGGGCGGCUCAGUGGGUUAAGCAUCCGACUUCA
Long non-coding RNA from Felis catus (domestic cat), 6920 nucleotides. RefSeq lists it as uncharacterized. The record is from RefSeq and is a predicted model, not a curated record. NCBI's taxonomy places the organism in Eukaryota, Metazoa, Chordata, Mammalia, Carnivora, Felidae. The transcript is spliced from 4 exons.